AUAUGUAUAGGGAAGGGGAUAGGGGAGUGAUGGAGGUAGAUAUGUAUAGGGGAAGGAGACAGGGAUACUGGAGUGAUGGAGGUAGAUAUGUAUAGGAGACAGGGAUACUGGAGUGAUGGAGGUAGAUAUGUAUAGGGGAAGGGGACAGGGAUACUGGAGUGAUGGAGGUAGAUAUGUAUAGGAGACAGGGAUACUGGGGUGAUGGAGGUAGAUACAGUGCCUUCGGAAGUUAUUCAGACCCCUGAACAUUUUCCACAUUUUGUUACAGCCUUAUUCUAAAAUUGAUUAAAUAAAUAAAUAAUCCUCAGCAAUCUACACACAAUACCCCAUAAUGACAUCACAAUACCCCAUAAUGACAAAGCAAAAACAAGUUAAAAAAAUAAAAUUAGAAAAAAAACAGAAAUAGCUUAUUUUUGUAUACCUUUAUUUUUU
Molecule: long non-coding RNA, 432 nt
Organism: Oncorhynchus tshawytscha (Chinook salmon)
Lineage: Eukaryota; Metazoa; Chordata; Actinopteri; Salmoniformes; Salmonidae
Source: Ensembl